UAUUUUUUAUAAAUUGAAUUGUGUUAUUAAUAAUAGCAAUGCUGUUGAUAGUCGUAAUUAUGAUCGAUAUCACGUAAAAUAUUAACAUAUUGUAUUUAUUUAUGAUUAUAAUAUAAGCCGUUUAUAAUAAAUAUAUAACAGUAGCAAACACAAUGUGAUUAAUACAUUUAUUAUUAUUAUGUGUGUGUUUUUUUUUUUUUUAAUUAAAAAAUAUAACGUAUUAAUUUAGCAUGUCACCAUUUAAAUAUGUAAUAAUCGAAUACUACAUAUAUGUAUAUACAUGUUUUUAAAACGUAUGUUUUGUGAAAAAUUUGUGUAUGUUGUAUUUGUAAUAACAGUUUGUGUUCGUGUAACAAAUAUUGUUAAAUAAAAUAAAAAACAUUUAUAAUAUGACAUUUUUUUAUUUAAUUUAUUUAUAUAACAAAAUAAAAAAAAAAUAAAAAAAUUUAGCAGUAUGACAGCAGAAAAUCAGUUAGAAAAUAAAGAUGGAUUACAAAAUUCGAGUAAAUUAAUUAAUAUUAUUAAUAGUAGAACAUAAUUAUAUAUAAUUUUUUAUCAAUAAAGUAAAAAUAAUUUUUACAUAAUAUAUUAUAAAAAAUAUAUAUACAUUUAAUUUAUCAGGUGAUAAGCAAAAUUUACACGUUAAAAAAUCACUCUCGCAAGCACUUGAACAAAGCGUUAUAACGACACCUAACAAUGACACUAAUAAUGAAGAAAAAGAUUCAUAUGUAACAACAUUUUUAGAAUGGCUUGAUGCUGUUCUUGUUAUUUUGUUUAUUUUUCUAGUAGGUGCAAAAUAUUUAAGUCCAUAUAUCAGUCCAAGACAAAAUAAUAGACCUAAUGUUAGACAUAAUCAAUAUGUUGCAGAAGAACUAUAUCCUGCGUUAAACAUUUUACCACUUAUGGAUAAUCAUGUCAAUCGUUUUCAUCAUUUCAAUUCUUUCGAUCGUCAUAGAGAAUAAUAUAAUAGACAUUUUUAAGCAUACUAUUUAUGAAUGCACAAUUUUUUAAAAAGAACAAAAUAUAUAUGAAUAUUUGAUACAGUUGUUUAUUAUGUUUGCGCAUUGUUAUUGCUAUAAAAAUGUCCGAUAGUUUAGUUUUUAUUAUAGUUGUACAUUGUGAGUGAUUGUUGUAUACUAAUUUAAUUUUUGCAUUAACUUCAGGUGUGUUCGUUGCUUGUAUUUUUGUUUGUUUUUUCAUGCUACAUUAAUUGAGUUGUGUUUUUUUUGCAUUUGUUAAUAUGUACAAUUAAAUGUGAUAAUUUUUUUUUUUAUUUUUAAAUUUAAUAU
This 1289-nucleotide long non-coding RNA is filed under the name Piliocolobus tephrosceles (Ugandan red Colobus). Its description in RNAcentral is "lncRNA (ENSPTEG00000007764.1)". The record is from RNAcentral. Lineage: Eukaryota; Metazoa; Chordata; Mammalia; Primates; Cercopithecidae.